UGCCCUCUGAAUAGCUCCUUCCCUUUCAUUCCAUUCAACAAUGUAGGAAACUCCGUCUUUGCUGGUUCCACAAGAAAAGAGCCUGGAGCCAUCAGCACUAUAAGCCAUUGUAGUACACCAAUGACCUGGGGCAUCAUAAUCAACUCUAGAUCCCAGACCAUCAUAUAACCAUGCCUUGAUCUUCCCAUCUAACCCUGUUGAGAAGAUGAA
This 210-nucleotide unclassified non-coding RNA is filed under the name Hevea brasiliensis (rubber tree). Lineage: Eukaryota; Viridiplantae; Streptophyta; Magnoliopsida; Malpighiales; Euphorbiaceae. The record is from RNAcentral.